UUAGUGAAUUUGCACUCACAUCACCACCGUUGUUGAAUAAUCCCAUGAUUCAACUUGCAGGCAAAACCAUUGAUUGCAGAAAAUAAGAUCAACGAGCUCGUUGAUCCAGCUCUCGGGAAUAACUAUGACCUGGACCAGUUAAAAUGUGCCAUUGCAACAGCUUCUAUUUGUAUAAAUCAGUCAUCGAUGGAUCGACCCCAAAUGAGUCAGGCAUGUCCUUUUUCAUUACAUGUUACUUGCAAUCCAAGUAAAACUGUAGAUAAUUCAGAAACUUGCAUUUUCACUGCAGGUUGUAGGCAUGCUUAAAGGUGAUCCUAAAUGCCUUGAGAUGCUGAAAGAACAAGAAAAGUGCCCUCAUCGGAGGACUUUCUCCGACGAGAUCUUUCAUACAGAAGAAUACAAUUCAACUAACUGUUUGAAUGGUCAAAAUUCUCAGAAUGACAAAGUUUCAUAAUGUUUUUUUUUUUUUUGUAAAAUAUAUAUUCUGAAAAUUUGGUUCUUCUCCAAGAAUUUUUUUUUCCAAAUUUUGAUUGUUGAUUCUUCUAGCUUUUUACAUCCUUUUUUUUCAAGUUGUAGUUUCCAUCAAAUGAACCCAAACAUUUGAAGGAUUGGAACAGUUUGAAAGAAGGGAAAAAAAGAUAGACCAGUCGAUACAAAAUAUAAUAUAAACACCACAUGUUUUUUUACAUAUUAAUAAUUUAUAUUCUAUUUAUAUUUAUAAAAAAAUUCCAAACAUGACACACACACAUAUAUAUAUUAACAUAUUAAAAAAAUCGCUUUACAAUUGGGAUUUACAAAUUAUAAUCAAUAUUUUGAUAAUUUUAAGAUAAUAUUUUUUUGAAGAUAUAAUUUUGAGAUAACAUUAUUAUUCUUUUAUUUAAACAAUUGAAAAAAAAUACUUAAAAGGUAAUUUUUUUUUGGUAAUGAAAGUAAGGGUAAAUCUUAUAACAGUCUAGUGAACUACAUGAGGCCCACAAAUGUUUAUAUGUUUUGUCAAAAUGGUCUUAAUUGUAUUUUUGAGUCUUUUUUAGCCAUUAAUUUUAUUUUUUUAAAUUUGUUUUGUUUUAUAUAUGAUUUAUUUUAUUAUUUUUCACAUGUAAUUAUCUUAUUGGGUUACUUAAGUAAUAGAUUACAUCUUAUUAAAAAUAUUUCACAUAUGAAAUUCUAUAUCAUCCCGUUAACUUUUUUAACAGUACUUUCAUCAAAUCUGUUAAAAAAAUCAAUUUGAAAAACAAGAAUAAAGGUUGAUGGCUAAAAAAGCUCAAAAAUACAAUUAGGGUCAUUUUGACAAAAUAUAUAAACAUUAGUGGCCAAAUUUACCAUUAAACCAAAAAAAAUUUAUGAAAAGAAAGCAUUAUUUAACAAAAUAAAACGAAUUAGAUACUUUAAAUCAUAAUUAGUAUUUGAUUUUACCAAAAGAUGUAAAUAAUUUUACGAAUACACCCCAUUGCAAAAUUGUUGAGACGACACCGUAUUAGUUCCUUAAAAAUAAAAAUAAAAAUAUCGUAGCUUCUGGCUAUAGCCUUACUACAGGUUUAACUCAGAUUAGCAAACUACCAUUUUCCCGAGAAAAUUUUUGACCUUUUCUUUCCUGGAAAAUCUUUCGAUCUAAGGUUUACAUUCGAUGGCUAUUGAGAGGAUUUAUUCUCUGCAAAUCCUGAUAUUGAACUUAAUCGCUUCAAUCUUGUACCAAUCAUGUGAGUCCUUCUUAACUACUCCAAGCUCCAUUAUCAAUCCUUCUAAAGUCAAACAAGUUUCCUGGAAACCUAGGUCACUUUCUAUCUCGAUCUCUUUUCACUUCGCUGAAGAAUUUAGUAAAUGUUUGAAUUUUCUUUAAUUUGUUUCUAUUCUUUUGCAGGGCUUUUGUCUACGAAGGCUUCUUAACGGACCUCGAAUGCGAUCAUUUGAUCUCUCUAGUAAAUUCGACUCCAAAUUUUCGUCUAUUCCUUUUUUUUUUUUUAAUUUUGAAUUCAUUUAAUGUUUCUUCUUUUUCUUUGUAAUUAAAGGCGAAAUCGGAGCUAAAGAGAUCUGCAGUUGCUGAUAAUGUUAGUGGACAGAGCAAGCUAAGCGAAGUCCGUACGAGCUCAGGGAUGUUUAUUCCUAAGGGAAAGGUUAAGUCGUUUAUCUUCUCUCUUGUAGAUUGUAGUUGUUGUUUCCCAAUCUUAUUUUAUCCAAUUAUGGUGAUCUAAGUUGCUGACCUAUACUUAUGGCUUAUGGGUACUCUAUUAAUUACAGAGGAACUAUUUAGGUAGGAUUUGAUAAAAAUGAUAACUACAUUAAUAGUUCCAUAGAUAGAUAGGCUUGGCUUUUAUGGUAUUUUAUCCUAUCUUACCCGAACUCUUCGUUUUCUCAGAAGUACUUGAGCUCAAAAUUUGCAUUCUAGGAUAUAGGAAUGGUUACAUGAUUAUCCAAAUAUGUGGAGAAACUUAAAAAUUAAGCAUACUUGUGUCGAACACAAACUCAUAUCUGUCAUUCAUUCUAGUCUUGGUAAUAUAGGGUUAUCUUGAUGAAAACAUAUACUAAUGACGGUUUGAAGGGUUCAAUAUGACAAGUUAUCCAUCAAUUUUCUUAAGGAGGCACUCAACAUUGCAAUGGUUUUGCGUUUGAUUUUUGUAUAUUUGAGCUACGUGAUGCUUACUUUCCCUUUUAUUUCUUUUUAGGAUCCUAUUGUUGCUGGUAUAGAGGACAAGAUUUCAACAUGGACUUUUCUGCCCAAAGGUGCGUAUACCAUGAAUUGGCCCUACUAAGAUCGUGUUCUUUAGUUCUGCAGUGACAUUCUAAUUAUAUAUGAAGAUUUCUUGCACACCACAAUGAUAAUUUAGUUAGAUCAUGUUUCUAUGAUUACACUCAUUAAUUUUCAUUAUUCACGAUAUGAGAACUAGCAAGUAGGAUAUGGGAAGAGAUCAUAUUAAAUGUUUUAAGUAGGAUAAAAAUAGUUAUUUUUUGAACGUUCUAUUUGUUUGUGAACUAUACAUCUGGAUUGCUAAUUUAUGCAUUUGGAAUUUAAUUUUUAUGUGCUCCAUGAUCUAUCAAUAUAUCAAUAUCAAAGUCAAUGUCAUCAUCUGAAAGCUUCAUGAUACUUUGGCUGGGAGUGGACUGAUAAAUCUCAUGUUUAUGUACUUAAUAUAAAUGAGAUACAUAUGUGUUUGAGGGUUCAGAGAGUGAAAAAUAGCAAUUGUGGUUUAAUUAAGGAAGUACAUGCUAACAUGAAUUUUGUUUUUCACAUUUCCAGAAAACGGGGAAGACAUACAAGUGUUGAGAUACGAGCAUGGGCAAAAAUAUGAUCCACACUAUGAUUAUUUUACUGACAAGGUUAAUAUCGCUAGAGGUGGACACCGCAUUGCAACUGUACUGAUGUAUCUUACAAAUGUGACCAAAGGUGGUGAAACUGUAUUCCCUCAAGCCGAGGUUUGUUUAAGUGUCCUUAUGUCCAUUAGAUCUCUUCUUUUGUUGUUUCAUAUGCUUGCAAUCAUAUGUUCUUUCAAGACUGGUGUUUUCUGGUGGCUUGAACAUUUUUUUAACUUCAUGAUUUUUGUUUAUUUAAAAAGGUUUCUGAGAUUCGUUUGCAUACAAGAUGCAUGCUCAUGGAUGGGGAUGACUACAGUUAUCAUCUCUCUACAAGUAGUAAUUAUACAUUAUUGCAUUAUACAUUUGUGAAGAAAUAGAGAGAAAAAGGUUGAGAGAAUGUAUAUACACAACCUUAUUUUUGAGAAAAAGGUUGAGAGGGUGUGGUUCUAAUUGCAUGGGAAGGAGCAGGGUCUGAAAAUUGAACCUAACUGAUUAAUUUUUGGAGUAUUUCUAUCUGUUCUUUGCUGAAAGCUAGGAUUCGGCUGAUGUAGAAAAAGAAUUUAUGGGAAAAGGGGGAUUUGGUUUUAGAAACAACUCUGACACCAUGAAGAAAUAGAGAGAACAAGGCUGAGAGGACGUAUCUAUUUUUCAUUUCUGCUUUUUCUACGUAGGCUGCUACUACACAACCUUAAUUAUAGUACAUGGAGGAAGAGAAAAUCUGGAAACAAGAAUCACUAACUACCAGAUUUUUCCUCUAUCAUCUCCCCUAAAAUCAGAAACAUAAUAUCCUAUUUAAAUCCUGAUUUUAUGAGAUAUGAUUUUAUGGUAUUUGGUAAUCCCCUAAUAUCCAUAUUAGCAACACAUACAUUUUCUCAUUUAACUUCAUUAUCAGGAACCUUCACGUCGUAGAACUCCUCCAAAAGAUUAUCUAUCGGAAUGUGCAAAGAAGGGAAUUGCUGGUAAGUAACAUAAUAGUUGACGUCUUUUUUUCAAAUAUCAUAUGCUUUUUUAUUUUCGAUAUUGAUAUUUGUUGUUGUUGUUGUUUUUAUUUUCUUAUUUCUAUAAAUUAGUGAAACCACGAAGAGGUGAUGCACUUCUCUUCUUCAGUCUCUUCCCAACUGCUAUUCCUGACCAGAACAGUCUCCAUGCUGGGUGCCCGGUGAUUGAAGGUGAGAAAUGGUCAGCCACAAAAUGGAUUCAUGUUGAUUCAUUCGAAAAGAACUUAGACAUCGGUGGUAACUGCACGGAUUUGAACGAGAGCUGUGAGAGAUGGGCUGCUCUUGGUGAGUGUACCAAGAACCGAGAAUAUAUGAUCGGAACUGCAGAACUUCCUGGCUAUUGUAGGAGAAGCUGCAAAGUAUGUUGAAGGUAAACUACAAGCUUCAAUGAUAGUAUAUCUGCUGCUGCAUUUUCUGUUGUAAGUUUUUUAUUGCUUUUUUUUUUUUAGUUUUUGGAUUCAAAUUUACAUUCUUAUGCUACAGUUUUCACAAACAUAGUUGAAAUCCAUGUAUUCUAAACCUUACUUUCAACUUGGUUAACAUAUCCCCCCGGAAGCUUCAGAUUUGUCGUAGUCUUUUUAGAUUGCUAGCGUUUCACUUUCAGCUGAAAUCUGAAAAUAAUUUUUUCCAUAUUGUACUUUUGAUUUUAAAUAGCAGUAUAUGGAUGUAAACUUUCUUCAACCAUGGACUUUAUUUUGCUUUCUCUUUUAAUCUGUAGGUUCUUGGCUAGAGUGAGUGUUGUUUAUGUUAUGGUCCUGUUAUGAAUUUUAUAUCGAAUGUAUACUUAGAGUUGGUCUUAAAUUCUGCGGACUAAAUCGUAAGGGCCACGGGCUGAAGCUGACAAUACGUUGCAGUUGAGUGUAGAGUACUAGUGAUAUGCCAUUGAAGCUAGUUUGUGUAGAUGAGCAAUGAAUUUCACAAUGGUUGCAUACUAGAUUUGAUACUAGGAUGUAAGUGUUUACACAACCUUUACCUAGAUGGAAGCGGAUAAUACCUUUCAAGUUUGUGUAGAGUGUGAUAGUUUAGGUGAAUUAUCAUGAAACUAGGAUUGAGGGUUACCCAUGCUAAAGGUUUUGGAUCAUGGAAUGACUCAAAGAUUUUUAGGAUCAACUUUAAGGCAAACCUUAUGGGUCGAUUUUUUUUUUUUUUUUUGGAAAUACAAUAAUGUUUUGAUAUUAUAAAUAAAAAUUAUAAUUCCAAAAAGCAAAUUUUCAUAAUUAUUGAAAAAUUUUCAAAUUUCCAUCAUGCAAAUAUAUAUUGUUCAUGUUAAAACCGGUUGAUUUUACAGUUUAAUUCUGAGUUAAAUAGAGCUUGCAAAACAAGCCUGAGCUCCAAAGUUGGCUUGGAUUUUAUAUCUGAUUAGCCAUUAUAGAUAUUAAUAAUUUUAUGGUAUUAUUUUAAAAAUAAAUAAAUUAUAUAUAUUUUUUGAAAAUGUAUUCAUAAGUAGAGGUGCUUAUGAGUUAGGCUUGGGUUGGGUCUAUACAAGGUAUUUAGAUCAUUUUUUUAAGUCUUAGCUUGGCUCGAAAAAUGGGUUUGCUUUUUUGCUCAAGCCCGAUUCAGUUUAAUGAAGGUAAAUUCGGGCCUAACUUGACUCGCUCAUAUUUUAUUUUUUAAGAUUAUUUUUAUUUAAAAAUAAAAAAAAUUAAAAAUCUAAUACACUAAAUGCACUAAAAAUGUUAAAAUAAAAGUUUUCUAACAAAUUAAAAAUAUAUUAAAAAGUAUUUAUAUUAAAAACAUUAUCAUAAAUAUAAUGAAUGUUUUAUUAUAUUAAAAAACACAAAUUAAUAUAAUUAAUAUUUUAUUGUAUAUAAUUUUUAAAAUUUUAUAUUUUGGGUUGGGUUAUUUAGUUGAGUAAGUUUUUUUUGUAUGGUUUUGGGUAAUGAGUUUAAUAGUUAUUGGGUUAGUGAUUUAAUAUAAAUAUAAAUAUAUAAUUAAUAUAAUAUUUUUAUAACAUAAUAUAUUCGGUCAAUUCAUGUCAGGUUCAGGCCAAAAAAAUCUUACCCAAAGCUCCGCUUAUAUAAAAAAUAGGCUUCAAAUUUUACUUAAGCCUAUUUUUUAACCUUGUAUUUUUGUCUAAACUUUUCUAUUUUUUAAACAGAUUUUUAAGCCCAGACAAGUGGUUUGGCCCAUAAGUAGGCCUGUUCAUAAGCAUUGCAUAUUUAUAUUAAUAUUUUAUUAAUAGGAAAUGUAAUUAAUAGUAAUUUUUUUACCUUAAAUUAUAAAGUGAAAUAAUUUUUUAAAAAUAGUAAUUUAAUAGAAAAUGUUUUUAAUACUAUAAUUAUAUAUGUAUCAUAAAUAUAUAAAAUUAAUAAAUAUUAAAAUCUAUAAAUUUAAACUUAAAUGAUAAUACAAUAAUACAUUAUAUAAUUAUUACCGAAACUGAUUACCUAACUUUACCUUCAUCUGUUCUACUAAAUUAGCAUAUUACGAGUACAUAAAAUAAUAUUAUAAUAUAUAACUAAUACUAAAAAUAUUAAUACAUAUAUAACUAUUAUUAUAAUAUAGAUUAGAAUAAAAGAUAUAUUAUUACAUGAGAUUAUAAUGUUUAAUAUUUUUGCACAUAUAUAAACUAUUAAUAGAUGAUAAGAUAUAGCAUUAUAUAAUAUAGUAGGAGGACUAACUGUACGAAAUAUAUAAGGACUUAGAGCAUAUUUCAACUAGUAUAACAAUGAUAUAUGAUAAUAUGUAAUAUAUAAUGUACUAUUAUUAUAUUAUAGAUUAUAAUAAAAGAUAUAACAUCAACAAUUAUGUCUCAUUUAGUACAUUAAAAUACAUUUCUAUAAUUACAACUAGCAAUAUAUAUAAUAUUAUUAAAAUUUUAAUAUAUUAAUAAAAUAUUAUUUUCUAAAUUAUAUAUUGAAUUGGGAUUUAGCUUUUGCAAAUUAUAUUUGAGUAUUGGGUCUAAUUACUUUUUAUUUUGGACUUAUAAUUAAUUUAUUUUGAGUUUGAGUAAUAAUGAGUGUAAGGCCCAAUUUUUGCCCGGACCCACAUAGAUAAUAAUAAUACCAAAUAAAAUGUAAAGCCCAAAUCCAAAUAGCCCAAGACACAUAAACCCUAGCAGCAAACCUAGCGCCACAGCAACCUCACCUCAACGUUGCAGCACUCCGCACGUUUUCCUUCCCUCGCACGCCUCCGCAAAUGUCGCACACUCCGCGCACGUCUUUUACGUUCUGCAACAGACCACGAACAGUAGAGAUAGCAGAAAAUAUAGUAAAAAUUAAAUAGAUUUUAUUUUUUAUUUUUUAUUUUUUAUUCUUCUCUAAGAUUCGGUUAUAAAGACCGAUGGAGGCUUUUGAGGGAGGAAAAGAAAACAAGAAAUUGAGAAGAGGGGUUAAGCAUAUUGAAUCAAAAAAGAAAGAAAUUAGUGUAAACGAAAUACAAAGGGAGAAAAUAAAAAUAGCAGUGGGAUUGAAGGUGAUUUUCUGGGUCUAUUUUCUUCUUGCUCAUUGAUUUCUUUGCUUGUUUUUUUUCUUUGUGCACCAAACAAAAAUAAAAGAAAGAGGAGAAAUCAUUACCAAAAGAGGCGCGCCGUCGACAUCUUUGCUUCUCUUCGUCUAAAUCGAAGUUGAAAUGGGGGAGGUCGGCUUGAAGAACAGAGGAGAGGAUGGAGCAGUUCUUGAGGCUGCUGUUACCGCAAAUGGAAUAGGGUUUUAAUUAGAGUUUGAAAUGGGUUUUAACUUUUAAGCAUUGAUGGGUUAUUUGUGUUUUUAAUCCUUCCAUUUUAUCCCAUCAUUUCAAAACCAUUUUUUUUGUUUUCAAAUUUUUCCAUGAAAUAUCGAAUCUGUUUUAUUUUAGUCCAAUAUGGCGCAACGUUUUGGGUGGUUUGGGUAAAUUUCUCUUUGGGUCCUCCUCCUGUUGCGCGCGUUUUGAUUUGGUCCCUUUUCGUGUUUUCUAUUUUUGAAUUCAGCC
This 8195-nucleotide long non-coding RNA is filed under the name Gossypium barbadense (sea-island cotton). RNAcentral's name for it is "long non-coding RNA (GBAR_LNC020115)". Lineage: Eukaryota; Viridiplantae; Streptophyta; Magnoliopsida; Malvales; Malvaceae. The record is from RNAcentral.